GACAGGCAGUGGCACGAAGAUGGAGUCACAGCCCCAGGUCUUCAUAUUCCUGCUCCUCUGGAUGUCUGGUGCUAAAGGGGACAUUGUGAUGAUCCAGUCUCCUGAAAUCAUGUCCACAUCUGUAGGAGACAGGAUCACCUUAAACUGCAAAUCCAGUCAGAAUGUGGGUAGUAGUGUACAUUGGUACCAAGAAAAACCAGGGCAGCCUCCUAAACUGCUAAUCUAUGGUGCAUCCAAUGGAUACACUGGGGUCCCUGAUCGCUUCACAGGCAGUGGUUAUGAGACAGAUUUCACUCUCAGCAUCAGCAGUGUGAAGGCUGAAGACCUGGCAGAUUACUACUGUCAGCAGAGUUACAGUGAUCCUCCCACAGAUAGGAUGAAUCUGUCUAAAAUAGGACAGAAUUUGAAAUCAUUUACAAAGAAUACAGCAUCAUGA
Meriones unguiculatus (Mongolian gerbil) is the source of this 436-nucleotide non-coding RNA. The record is from the annotation of a RefSeq genome assembly. Lineage: Eukaryota; Metazoa; Chordata; Mammalia; Rodentia; Muridae.